UACGUAGGGUGCAAGCGUUGUCCGGAAUUAUUGGGCGUAAAGAGCUCGUAGGCGGUGUGUCGCGUCGGUCGUGAAAACUUGGGGCUUAACCCUGAGCUUGCGGUCGAUACGGGCAUCACUUGAGUUCGGCAGGGGAGACUGGAACUCCUGGUGUAGCGGUGAAAUGCGCAGAUAUCAGGAAGAACACCGGUGGCGAAGGCGGGUCUCUGGGCCGAUACUGACGCUGAGGAGCGAAAGCGUGGGGAGCGAACAGG
This 254-nucleotide ribosomal RNA is filed under the name uncultured bacterium. Its description in RNAcentral is "partial 16S ribosomal RNA". It matches the Rfam family "Bacterial small subunit ribosomal RNA", at positions 524 to 776 of the family's 1533-position model. The record is from RNAcentral.